RNAcentral lists this ribosomal RNA (1106 nucleotides) under Oncomegas celatus. Its description in RNAcentral is "partial 28S ribosomal RNA". It matches the Rfam family "Eukaryotic large subunit ribosomal RNA", at positions 151 to 795 of the family's 3401-position model. The record is from RNAcentral. Lineage: Eukaryota; Metazoa; Platyhelminthes; Cestoda; Trypanorhyncha; Eutetrarhynchidae.
ACUGGUUGGGUUGCCACUCCACUCGAAGUCCAGCAUUGAGUAUGGUAUCCUGGAUUUGGCCCAGAGAGGGUGAAAGGCCCGUGCGAGUGGAUGUUACAGACAUGUAAGGCAGCUCAUCAGGUCGACCUUCGAGUCGGGUUGUUUGAGAAUGCAGCCCUAAGCGGGUGGUAGACUCCAUCCAAGGCUAAAUACGUACACGAGUCCGAUAGUAAACAAGUACCGUGAGGGAAAGUUGAAAAGUACUCUGAAGAGAGAGUAAAUAGCACGUGAAGCCGUAUAGAGGUAAACGGGUGGCGUCAAGCUGCAAGCCUUGAGGAUUCAAUUGGCCUUUGUUGUGCGUUGUUUUGUGCGUGUAUCAGUCAGUGAUAGCUUGGGUAGUCCACUGGAAACGGUGGGCCUGGCCGCAAGGUCGGGAUGUACGAUUGGCACUGGUUCGCCAGUACGCUACCCGUCUGUCGGACUGGAUGGCCAAUGCAUUUCCUCUAUGGUGAACACCACGACCGGUGGUACUGCCAGUCUGGCUUGGUCAAGUUGUAGUCAGUUAGGCCUCGUGUCGGCUGGCUGCAAUCACACGCAAACUCGGUGGACGGCGAGUUGACCCUCGGGUUGAUUCGUGUUAUCGGCCACCGGUUGUGAACGGGCGUGCUCGUCGAUGGAUGCAGUCCUCGGCGGGUGGCCUGGUGGACCUUGCUGGUAUGUAUAACUGUGCAGGGCACCGGAGUUGUCGGUCUCAAUUUGCCAUUUGAUAUGCACACUGCAUGUGUGGUUGGGGCGUCAUCGCAGCCUGUCGGUGGUUAGGCGUGGCCGUCGUGUUGCCUGCGAAAAGUAGGCCCGGCGGUGGUCUGGCCCCGGUCGGUGUUGUUGGUGGCGUUCCCGUGUGCCAUUUGGUGUGGACCUGAUAGUCUGUGGUGUAGUGGUAGACCAGCCACCCGACCCGUCUUGAAACACGGACCAAGGAGUUUAACAUGCACGCGAGUCAAUGGGCACUUACGAAACCCAACGGCGCAAUGAAAGUGAAGCCUCGGCUUGUUCCCGGGGUGAGGUGAGAUCCUGCUGUUACUCGCAUCUGCACUUUUGUGUGUCGUGCGUUGGACACAAAGCGCAAA